Molecule: long non-coding RNA, 361 nt
Organism: Lynx canadensis (Canada lynx)
Lineage: Eukaryota; Metazoa; Chordata; Mammalia; Carnivora; Felidae
Exons: 3
Source: RefSeq, a predicted model, not a curated record
CCUGCUGAAUGUGUCACCUGCGUCCUGCUGAUGCAUAUGCUCACCUCUGGAGCACAGGUGAGGUCUUAAGUGACCACAAAAGAAGGACCAGACAGAGUAACAAAGAGGAUUGUUGAGACAGGACGCUCUGUGGGCUCCAGCCCCAACGGCAGCUCACGUGGAAGAAGAGGAGAGAUCCAUCUCCACCCCUCCUGAAAACCCUGAAAGAUACUCCAUUGUCUGGAAGGACCACCGUUUACCCACCCGCCUACUGAAGGAUGCCUUGGUUGCUCCCAAGCUUUGUCAAUUAUGAAAAAAGCUGCUAUAAAUAUCCAUGUACAGUUUUGGGUGUGGAUAUAAACUUUCAGCUCCCUUGGGUAAA